Molecule: transfer RNA, 77 nt
Filed under: Candidatus Saccharimonadota bacterium
Lineage: Bacteria; Candidatus Saccharimonadota
Also listed under: 1 other name
Description: tRNA-Arg
Rfam family: tRNA
About the family: Transfer RNA (tRNA) molecules are approximately 80 nucleotides in length.
Source: RNAcentral
GCCCUCGUAGCUCAAUUGGAUAGAGCAGUUCCGUCCUAAGGAAAAGGUUGUGAGUUCGACUCUCGCCGAGGGUACCA